Molecule: ribosomal RNA, 740 nt
Filed under: uncultured archaeon
Lineage: Archaea
Description: bacterial SSU rRNA
Rfam family: Archaeal small subunit ribosomal RNA
Source: RNAcentral
UUCCGGUUGAUCCUGCCGGACCCGACUGCUAUCAGAGUGAGAUUAAGCCAUGCGAGUUAACGUAGCAAUACGUGGCGCACGGCUCAGUAACACGUAGUCAACAUGCCCAGAGGACGUGGAUAACCUCGGGAAACUGAGUCUAAACCGCGAUAAGUGAGGAUUUCUGGAAUGGUUCCUGACUAAAAUCUAUAUGGCCUCUGGAUUGGACUGCGGCCGAUCAGGCUGUUGGUGAGGUAAUGGCCCACCAAACCUGUAACCGGUACGGGCUCUGAGAGGAGGAGCCCGGAGAUGGGCACUGAGACAAGGGCCCAGGCCCUAUAGGGCGCAGCAGGCGCGAAACCUCUGCAAUAGGCGAAAGCCUGACAGGGUUACUCCGAGUGACUUUCGCUAAGAAAGUCUUUUGGCACCUCUAAAAAUGGUGCAGAAUAAGGGGUGGGCAAGUCUGGUGUCAGCCGCCGCGGUAAUACCAGCACCCCGAGUGGUCGGGACGAUUAUUGGGCCUAAAGCAUCCGUAGCCGGUUCUGCAAGUCCCCCGUUAAAUCCAGCUGCUCAACAGAUGGGCCGCGGAGGAUACUACAGAGCUAGGAGGCAGGAGAGGCAAGCGGUACUCAGUGGGUAGGGGUAAAAUCCGUUGAUCCAUUGAAGACCACCAGUGGCGAAGGCGGCUUGCCAGAAUGCGCUCGACGGUGAGGGAUGAAAGCUGGGGGAGCAAACCGGAUUAGAUACCCGGGUAGUCCCAG